AACAAGGUCUCCGUUGGUGAACCAGCGGAGGGAUCAUUACCGAGUUUACAACUCCCAAACCCAAUGUGAACGUUACCAAUCUGUUGCCUCGGCGGGAUUCUCUGCCCCGGGCGCGUCGCAGCCCCGGAUCCCAUGGCGCCCGCCGGAGGACCAACUCAAACUCUUUUUUCUCUCCGUCGCGGCCUACGUCGCGGCUCUGUUUUAUUUUUGCUCUGAGCCUUUCUCGGCGACCCUAGCGGGCGUCUCGAAAAUGAAUCAAAACUUUCAACAACGGAUCUCUUGGUUCUGGCAUCGAUGAAGAACGCAGCGAAAUGCGAUAAGUAAUGUGAAUUGCAGAAUUCAGUGAAUCAUCGAAUCUUUGAACGCACAUUGCGCCCGCCAGUAUUCUGGCGGGCAUGCCUGUCCGAGCGUCAUUUCAACCCUCGAACCCCUCCGGGGGGUCGGCGUUGGGGAUCGGCCCCUCACCGGGCCGCCCCCGAAAUACAGUGGCGGUCUCGCCGCAGCCUCUCCUGCGCAGUAGUUUGCACACUCGCACCGGGAGCGCGGCGCGGCCACAGCCGUAAAACACCCCAAACUCUGAAAUGUUGACCUCGGAUCAGGUAGGAAUACCCGCUGAACUUAAGCAUA
RNAcentral lists this small RNA (627 nucleotides) under Trichoderma citrinoviride. RNAcentral describes it as "eukaryotic LSU rRNA". The stretch from base 260 to 413 matches the Rfam family "5.8S ribosomal RNA". The record is from RNAcentral. Lineage: Eukaryota; Fungi; Ascomycota; Sordariomycetes; Hypocreales; Hypocreaceae.